This 541-nucleotide ribosomal RNA is filed under the name Amolops chunganensis (Chungan torrent frog). RNAcentral describes it as "partial 16S ribosomal RNA". It matches the Rfam family "Bacterial large subunit ribosomal RNA", at positions 1852 to 2609 of the family's 2925-position model. The record is from RNAcentral. Lineage: Eukaryota; Metazoa; Chordata; Amphibia; Anura; Ranidae.
GUCCAGCCUGCCCAGUGACAUAGUUUAACGGCCGCGGUACCCUAACCGUGCGAAGGUAGCAUAAUCACUUGUUCUUUAAAUAGGGACUUGUAUCAACGGCAUCACGAGGGCUGUACUGUCUCCUUUCUCCAAUCAGUGAAACUGAUCUCCCCGUGAAGAAGCGGGGAUGAAUCUAUAAGACGAGAAGACCCCAUGGAGCUUUAAACCCAUCAUUCACCUCUGUAUAUUUAAAUCAACAUAACCCAAAAGGCUGUAUGCUGGUUUUAGGUUGGGGAGACCGCGGAGUAAAAUUAAACCUCCACGACAGACGGGCUAACACCCUUAUCUACGAACCACAAUUCUAAGAACCAAUAAAUUGUUGUCUAGUGACCCAAUAUUUGAUCAACGAACUAAGUUACCCUGGGGAUAACAGCGCAAUCUACUUCAAGAGCUCCUAUCGACAAGUGGGUUUACGACCUCGAUGUUGGAUCAGGGUGUCCUAGUGGUGCAGCCGCUACUAAAGGUUCGUUUGUUCAACGAUUAAAACCCUACGUGAUCUGUU